RNAcentral lists this ribosomal RNA (253 nucleotides) under uncultured bacterium. Its description in RNAcentral is "partial 16S ribosomal RNA". It matches the Rfam family "Bacterial small subunit ribosomal RNA", at positions 524 to 776 of the family's 1533-position model. The record is from RNAcentral.
UACGUAGGGUGCGAGCGUUAAUCGGAAUUACUGGGCGUAAAGCGUGCGCAGGCGGUUUUGUAAGCCGGAUGUGAAAUCCCCGGGCUUAACCUGGGAAUGGCAUUUGGGACUGCAAGGCUGGAGUGCGGCAGAGGAGACUGGAAUUCCUGGUGUAGCAGUGAAAUGCGUAGAUAUCAAGAGGAACACCUGAGGUGAAGACGGGUUGCUGGGCCGACACUGACGCUGAAGCGCGAAAGCCAGGGGAGCAAACGGG